GACGAACGCUGGCGGCGUGCUUAACACAUGCAAGUCGAACGGAAAGGCCCUGCUUUUGUGGGGUGCUCGAGUGGCGAACGGGUGAGUAACACGUGAGUAACCUGCCCUUGACUUUGGGAUAACUUCAGGAAACUGGGGCUAAUACCGGAUAGGAGCUCCUGCUGCAUGGUGGGGGUUGGAAAGUUUCGGCGGUUGGGGAUGGACUCGCGGCUUAUCAGCUUGUUGGUGGGGUAGUGGCUUACCAAGGCUUUGACGGGUAGCCGGCCUGAGAGGGUGACCGGCCACAUUGGGACUGAGAUACGGACCAGACGCCAACGGGAGGCAGCAGUGGGGAAUAUUGCGCAAUGGGCGGAAGCCUGAUGCAGCAACGCCGCGUGCGGGAUGACGGCCUUCGGGGUGUAAACCGCUUUCGCCUGUGACGAAGCGUGAGUGACGGUAAUGGGUAAAGAAGCACCGGCUAACUACGUG
RNAcentral lists this ribosomal RNA (468 nucleotides) under uncultured bacterium. RNAcentral's name for it is "partial 16S ribosomal RNA". It matches the Rfam family "Bacterial small subunit ribosomal RNA", at positions 28 to 507 of the family's 1533-position model. The record is from RNAcentral.